RNAcentral lists this ribosomal RNA (253 nucleotides) under uncultured bacterium. RNAcentral's name for it is "partial 16S ribosomal RNA". It matches the Rfam family "Bacterial small subunit ribosomal RNA", at positions 524 to 776 of the family's 1533-position model. The record is from RNAcentral.
UACGUAGGGCGCAAGCGUUGUCCGGAAUUAUUGGGCGUAAAGCGCUCGUAGGCGGCCAUUUACGUCCGCUGUGAAAUCCCGGGGCUUAACCCCGGGCGUGCAGUGGAUACGGGCUGGCUGGAGGCCGGCAGGGGAGAACGGAAUUCCUGGUGUAGCGGUGAAAUGCGCAGAUAUCAGGAGGAACACCGGUGGCGAAGGCGGCUCUCUGGGCCGGUACUGACGCUGAGGUGCGAAAGCGUGGGGAGCGAACAGG